CAACCAUGAUUGGGGCAUUUUCUCAGUAGCAUCUGAAAAUUCUCCCAAGCUUUAUAGAAUGUUUCAUCUACGCCUUGCCUGAAAGUGGAUAUUUCAAAUUUGGCAUG
This 107-nucleotide small nucleolar RNA is filed under the name Lupinus angustifolius (narrow-leaved blue lupine). Its description in RNAcentral is "Plant small nucleolar RNA R71". It matches the Rfam family "Plant small nucleolar RNA R71". Rfam says of the family: R71 is a member of the C/D box family of snoRNAs containing the C (UGAUGA) and D (CUGA) box motifs. Multiple nearly identical copies of this snoRNA have been identified in Arabidopsis, and it is thought to function as a 2'-O-ribose methylation guide for 18S ribosomal RNA. Lineage: Eukaryota; Viridiplantae; Streptophyta; Magnoliopsida; Fabales; Fabaceae. The record is from Rfam by way of RNAcentral.